Molecule: long non-coding RNA, 1129 nt
Filed under: Daphnia pulex (common water flea)
Lineage: Eukaryota; Metazoa; Arthropoda; Branchiopoda; Diplostraca; Daphniidae
Description: uncharacterized LOC124202539, transcript variant X1
Source: RNAcentral
CGGGACCUUUCGCAUCAUUAUCAAGAAGUUGUAUACAAGGAGAAAGAAAAGGCGAAAGAAAUCAGUCGAGUGAGCAUCUCCGAUAUGCAAUGAGUUGCGGUGCACAGCAGCAACUGCAGUGCACUAUUUUACACCAACUGCAUUCUUCGUCGAGGUGCUAGUUUUAAAUCAUGGUAAACUUUGGCGUCGCGUGCUGCUGUUGGGUGUUGUAUAGUUGACGGCUGGUUCAGCCAUGGUGUACCAAUGUCUCCUGGGUAUGGUGGACAACAAAUCGCAACGCCGCCACCUUACUACACAACAUACGACACGACCAGUUGCUUCACCAAGGCCCCCAAGUACUACACCACCAAGGCUUAACAUUAUUGUACCAAAACUUAUGCUGCCUGAGCUACUACACCGAAGCCCCGAAGCAUUAUUCUUCCCCGAGGUACACAACCAGAGGUUCGAGUACUACAGCGAUGCACCGGAGUACUGCACCACCAAGGCACCGGAGUACUGCACCACCACAUAUUUCAUGGUUCUUAGAAAAGAUGAAACAAAUCAGUCAUCUCCGACACGACAACAUCAAUUGCAGUGCCAAGGCUUAGUAUUACACCACAAUUUAUGUUGCCCCGAGACUCUACACCAAAGCGCCUAAGUGCUAUAUCGAGGUCACUAAUUACUACACCACCAAGGCACCGGAUUACUACACUAAACAUACGCUGCUCCAGCUUAUUACACCGAGGCUCCCCAACACUACACCGGAGUACUACUACAUAUCAUGGUCGUAUGAAAGGAGAGUAAAGGUGGAAGAAUUCAGCAACCGAGUGAGCAUUUCCGUUACAGCAACAGGAACUGCCGUGCACUAGUUGUCAUCAUCUUCAUUCUUCGUCGCGUUACAAGUGUUUAAUAAAGUCUAGUUAACUAUGGUGGCGUGCUGCUGUUGGGUGUUGUAUCGUUGAUGGCUGGGUCGACCACUGGUGUGUUGAUUUCUCCUGGGCAUGGCGGGCAUGAACAACAACAUACGCAACAACCGGUCACUACACUGAGGCCCCCAAGUUCUACACCACCAAGGCUCCAGAGUAUUACACCACAGUUUAUGUUGGUCCGAGCUAUUCGCAGAAGCUCCGAAGUAUUUUUCUUUCUUUUU